Molecule: long non-coding RNA, 354 nt
Filed under: Brassica napus (rape)
Lineage: Eukaryota; Viridiplantae; Streptophyta; Magnoliopsida; Brassicales; Brassicaceae
Description: long non-coding RNA (BNAP_LNC003369)
Source: RNAcentral
CUUUUAGGUUGGUUUUGCAUUUGACUGAAAGUGGGGUAUACUUUUACAUUUGACUUGAAUUUUUGGGUUGGUUUUAGCAAAUGUCCCACAUAUAAAUUAGAUUCUCACAUGUACUUAAAUUCUUUCUUGACAUUAUUCUCUCAUGUACUUAUUUUUUAAUAUAAACUUACAUUUAUGGACCCGAAAGAUGAGAAUUCAAAUGACGAUCACAAAUUUGUUUGAACGAAAAUUCUCUAAAUCAAACAUUACAACAUUAGCUUCGUAUUUCCACCAAACUGAUACGUUCCGCUAGAGCACUCCGAAAUCUUUAGAAAGUCAUUAAACUGUUCUCAACCGUCGAUGAUUACUAUUUAA